This 72-nucleotide transfer RNA is filed under the name Caudoviricetes sp. RNAcentral's name for it is "tRNA-Asn". It matches the Rfam family "tRNA". Rfam says of the family: Transfer RNA (tRNA) molecules are approximately 80 nucleotides in length. The record is from RNAcentral. Lineage: Duplodnaviria; Heunggongvirae; Uroviricota; Caudoviricetes.
GGACUUGUAGCUCAAUGGUAGAGCACUCGGCUGUUAACCGAGGGGUUCUUGGUUCGAUACCAAGCAAGUCCG